Molecule: long non-coding RNA, 333 nt
Filed under: Ananas comosus (pineapple)
Lineage: Eukaryota; Viridiplantae; Streptophyta; Magnoliopsida; Poales; Bromeliaceae
Description: long non-coding RNA (ACOM_LNC022606)
Source: RNAcentral
UAAUACGGGAGUUUUUAGAAAACCCUAGCCGCCAUCUCUCUUCUCCUCUCUCUUCCAUAUUCUAGCAAAAAGACGUCCUUUGCAAGGAAACUAGCACCUCGGUGAGGAUAUCGAUCAAAUCAUCAACCUCGUGUGGAUACCUAUAGAGGCCGGACGCGUGUGCGGCUUCAAGAGAACCCAAUUCCACGAUCAUCAAGUUGAGGUGAAGAUUUAUCCACGAAAAAGGUAAAGAUUCGAUCUUGUUUUUCUUCUUUAAUCUUAAAGAACAUGAGGAAUCCUAAUUGCGUGGUUUUUGAGAUUGGAUCUCGAGAGUUUUCAAAAAUCAAAUUUGUU